Molecule: long non-coding RNA, 4990 nt
Filed under: Sus scrofa (pig)
Lineage: Eukaryota; Metazoa; Chordata; Mammalia; Artiodactyla; Suidae
Description: lncRNA (ENSSSCG00000059705.1)
Source: RNAcentral
AUGUUCUGUCAAUUUCUGCUGUACAGCAAAGUGACCCAGUCACACAUACAUAUAUACAUUCUUUUUCUCACAUUAUCCUCCAUCAUGUUCCAUCACAAGCAGCUAAAUGCAGUUCCCUGUGCUCUACAGCAGGACCUCAUUGCUUACCCACUUCAAAUGCAAGUGUUUAUGUCUGCUUCUGGUUACUUCGGAGGGCUGUCUGCUGCAUCUCAUUUUAAACAGAGUUAGAAUUUUGGAAAAAAGGAAUUCACGUCUGAACUUCACUGGACAGAACAACUUAGCAAGUGAUUAAGAGGUUAUCUGGACUACGCAGUUGGAAAUUAAUAAGCAAACUGAAAUAAUAAUAUUGGCUUGCACCCGUAGAGGCGCUUCCACAGGUAAUAACGCAAGGUGCUUUUGCAUGCAUCAUGUCCCUCACCUGUACAAGAUCCCUAUGAAACAGGUAGCACAGGUAUAAUUUGCCCCAUUUUGGGGAUGAAGAAACCUAGAUGCUCAGCUAUUAAACCACCUAGCCAGGAUAGGAUGAACAGUUAGGAAAGGAGGGAGAGUGACCACAACUCUGACUGAGUAGUGGCAUACAAUUCUGUAAGACAUUUUUAAGGACCUAAGAACCUGAGUGUUGGCCUUCUUCAGUUUUCCACUCUCUUCUUCAGCUCACAACUGGGUACAUACUAUAUGCACAGUUCUGUGCUAAAUGCACUGGGAAAGACUAAUAAUUAAGACAGUGAAUCUUCUUUCCAAGAAUUUACAAUUAAUAGAGUAUUGGCAGUUAUUUGCACCCAAAAUACCAGGAAGAAUGCGAUGUGUCCCAUCAGAGAUAUGAACUAAUUCAGCAGAAGAGGAAGAUUACCCACAAGCAGAAAAACCAGGGAGAGGCUCAUGAGUAGCUAUUAUAUGUCCCAGUUUGCCAGGGACAAUCCUAGUUUAUCCUUGUCCUUUCAGCUCUCUCUUCCAUUUUCACAAGUGUCCCAAUUUGUGUGACAAAUUACAUGGUCAGUCCUUUCAUGAAGGUGGUAGCAUUUAGGCUGGGCCUUGCAGAAUGGGUUGUAUUUUAAUGGAUGCAGAUUUGGGAAGAGAAUAUUAUUAGAAGAUGAGAACAAAAAACAAAAACAGGAAUUCCCAUUGUGGCUCAGUGGGUUAAAAACCCAACAGUCUCCGUGAGGGCAUGGGUUCGAUUCCUGUCCUCACUCAGUGGGUUAAGGAUCCAGCGUUGCCCCAAGCUGCAGCAUAGGUCACAGACGUGGUUCGGAUCCAGUGCUGCUGUGGCUGUGGUAUAUGUGGGCCGGUAGCUGCAGCUCUGAUUCAACUCCAAACCUGAGACCUUCCAUAAGCCAUGGGUGUGGCCAUAAAAAGGGACAGUAAGAAAGAAAGCAAGCCAAAGACAAGGGAAAGAAAUGAAAACAUGGUAAAUUUAGCGUACUGGGUAAUCCACAAGGUUGGCCAUAGUUGACUCUUUUCUUCCCUAUCUCUGCAAACUGCUCCAACCAUCAAGAGACCCCUCUCUUUGCCUUGAAUCUGAGCCCCCUAACUUGCCUUGACCAGAAUGCACUGACGUGUCAUGGUGCCAGCUCCAGGCCUAGCCUUGAAGAGGUCAGGCAGCUACUGCUCUUGCUCUUGAAAAGAGUAACCAAGAGAGCAAAGCAGCCAAGCUUGCCCAGAGUGGCGGGCAACAGUUCCAGCCAAGUCCACUGAGGGGCCACUCUGCACAUGGAGAAGGCAUGAUGGCCAUUUCUGCUCCCAAGUGGAGCAGAACUGCUCGACUGCCCGACGUGCAGAAUCCCAAGAGAUAAUGAACGGCCUAUGUGCUAUGCCACUAAACUCUAAGCUGGCUGACGACACUGCAAUAGCCACCUGGACCAGUAACAAAGUAGAGCAGAAGGAUUUAAGCUUGGCUAAGGUAUGACUGGCGAGGUGGGUAUUCUGUGUUGUCCUGUCCAGCCUCGGCCACAGGAAAGCUCUGUGUCCCUGUGUCUCAGAGGUGGGCUUUCCCAGAGGGGAUUCUGUCCCUCUGCCAGUGGUAGAGACCCCGGUAAGUCUGGGCCCAAGACUGUUUCCUCUCCGCUUCCAGGCCUACACCGAGAACAACUUUCUCAGGUCUCCUGCCCCAGCCUCAGUCUUUGUUCUGAGCACCCACGAAUUUUUUUUUUGGGGGGGGGCUUUCAUUUUAGGGCUGCACCCUCAGCAUAUGGAAGUUCCCAGGCUAGGGGUGGAAUCAGAACUACAGCUGCUGGCCUACACCACAGCCACAGCAAUGCGGGAUCCAAGCCGCAUCUGUGACCUUCACCACAGCUCAUGGCAACGCCAGAUCCUCAACCCACUAAGCAAGGCCAGGGAGCAAGCCCACAACUUCAUGGUUCCUAGUCCGAUUCGUUUCCACUGCGCCACAGCGGGACCUCCUCAGCCUUUAGCAAUUAUUAACAAUUUUAGCUGAAUGUAAUUUACCUAUUGUACAGCAGACCCACCUUCCUCUGUCUUAAGCUGUGCAACAGAGAAGCCAAUCUCUCCUUGGAGGUGCCUGUUUUUCCUUAGAUUUGAGGCUAGUUGUUGCCCUACAACUUCAGCUCUCUGAUGGGUUCAAGGCAGGUUUGUACACACCAGGUAGAAGCCAGAAGGGCGUGGCUGCUUUGUAAACUGUGACCCAGGGAACUCCAAGAGGUCUACGCUGGGGCCUCAGGGCAGCCUCCCAGAAAAGGGGAGGGUGAAUUAAUUAGUGGGCCUCUGAACCCUCCGUUUCUAUCUCGGCCAGUCAGCUCCUUUAAAAAUCAAGUUUAGAGCUUCUGCAGAAAGAGACAUGGGACCAAAACAGUUGGAAAACUUUGACCUAUACACAGUUUCAGCUGCACCAAGCAACGUGUCCCUUCCCUACUACCGCCUCCUCUCUGCUUGUUCCCUAAAGCGUGAAAUCCCUCUAGAGACAGAAAAGCUAGCACACCACACUUCGGUUCUUUUGUUGUUUGUUUGUUUGUCUUCUCAGGGCUGCGAGCACAGCAUAUGGAAGUUCCCAGGCUAGGGGUGGAAUCAGAGCUACAGGUGCUGGCCUACGCCACAGCCACAGCAACGCUGGAUCCUUAACCCACUGAGCGAAGCCAGGGAUCGAACCCAUCUCCUGCAUCUCCUUGUGUAUACUAGUCAGGUUUGUUAAUGCUGAGCCAUAAGCGGAACUCUGACACUCAGAGUUUAAAAUAAAAUACCUUAAGGAAAGUUGACUUAAAUUCACACUAAUGGAGCUGAUAAGAGGGUUUUUUUGUUCUCCAACAAGCAGCUUUAAUAAGAAGAAGAGAGCACAAAAACUGAGCCUGAAAAGUUACAAAGGUUCUGAAGUUAAGGACAGAGAAAUGAUUUCAAAAAGGAGGGUUCGAAUUCCUGCUGUGGUGCAGUGGGUUAAGAAUCCCACUGCUGCAGCUCGUGUCGCUGUGCAAGUGCGGGUUCCACCCUGGCCAGAGCAGUGAGUGAAGGAUCCUGCAUUGCUGCAGCUGUGGCACAGGUCACAGCUACAGCUCGGGGUUGGAUCCCUGGCCUGGGCACUUUCAUAGGCCCUGGGUAUGGCCAUUAAAAAAAGAACAUUCAGGCACAACGGGCCAACUGCCUGCUUCACAAUUCUGCCUACAGCUGGCACAGAGGCACAAACAUGCACACAAUCUACAGGCUCUCCAAGAAUCUGCUCAGCAGCUGUGCGAUGCAAGCAACCAGAGUUAGCACCUCAGGGGGUCCUGGGCGACGGUAAGAUGUAAAUACAGACACUUCCUUGUCAGCCAAUUGGCCUGGGAGCCAGCGACAGGCACCCAGCGGCAGUGUGUCUGGCCCUGGCAGCGCAGAGCUGGGCCCUGGCUGCGCAGAGCUGUGAUACUCAAGAUGAAAUACGAAGGAAGGAAGGGAAAUAUAUUAAGGACCAUAAAAAACGGUCACCGUAAAGCCACUCCAAACAAGAGCAGGAGAAAAGCUAAGUGCUUCUCCAGGAAGUGUACCCUCAGCUUCCAAGUGUCACAUGAAUCAUCUAAGGAAAAUCUUCACAGCUGGAGAGGUAAUGUCUAGAAAAAAUGCUAAUAGUACUAAAGGCUGUUCUAUCCUUCCAAGCGAGGGCGACGCAGCCAGAAACAGUGUUAGGGAUUUAUCAAAUCAGGUCUCGGGGAAAGACAUUAAAAAGGAAAACAAAUGUAGAAUAAAUUCUCCUAUAACCCUUAGAUGGAAUGACUAAGAUACAGGUGGUUCGCGAUACAAUGUGUGCCCGUCGGAGAUUAAUGUAAAGACUUGAGACAUGAGAAAAUGUCAUUAUUUACUGCAGAAAUUUGGAGCCCUCCAUGGAUACCUGAAAAGGUAGAUAUGGCAAGAAACAAAGGUCAACCACUGCACUCCUGAACUCAAUUCAUAGCUUCGUCUAAUUGUUACUUAUGUACAUUAAUCUCACCUUCGCAACUCAAACAUGAACCCCUCUGGAGGUCAAUUCUGUUUUGGAGACUUCUUUUUUUUUUUUUUUUUGCAUUUCAUGUAUUAAGUAAACAAAAGGCACUUAAUACAGAUAUACCAAGGAAGUCCAAUUUAUCAAUCUGUUCUAGACUGUGCUUUUAGUGAUGAAUCUAAGAAAUGUUUAUGGAGCCCAAAGUCACAAAGGAUCUCUUCUGUGUUUUCUUAGGUUUUAUAUUUAGGUCUAUGACACAUUUUGUGUUAAUUUUUUAUGAUGUAAGAAAUAGACUGAAGCACAUAUUUUACAUAUGGAUAUCUAAUUUUUUCAGCACCAUUUGUUGACGGCUAUCCUUUCUCCACUGAAUUGCCUUUGCAUCUUCACCCAAAAGAAGCUGUCCCAUGUACGUGUGGAUCUAUUUCUGGAUUCUCCAUUCUGUCCCAUGGAUCUGCAUUGCCUUGAGUACUGUAGCUCUGUAAUAAAUGCUCAAAUCAGUUAUCUAGUCAUCUAACUUUCUUCUUAAUUUUUCCAGCUGCUUCUUGGCUAGUCUAAGUCCUGUGCACAUCCACAGAAAUUUUAGAAGCAGUUUGU